RNAcentral lists this long non-coding RNA (1271 nucleotides) under Sus scrofa (pig). RNAcentral's name for it is "lncRNA (ENSSSCG00065049616.1)". The record is from RNAcentral. Lineage: Eukaryota; Metazoa; Chordata; Mammalia; Artiodactyla; Suidae.
GAGGACGUAUAGAAUGAGCAGGAGCUAAGAGGAGGAAGGACGAUGGUGGAGAACAUUCUAGAUGAUGGUAGUGUGAGGACCUCUACAGACCAUCUCUCAAGUGGAACCAUCAUAACUACUGUCAUUUCUUGAAUGUCCUCACCGCUCUCCCAGCCUGCUCCCUCCUGCGGCUGCAGCACAGGACUCUGACCAGCAGGAGGUGGGACUCAAGGACUCCAGACCCAGCCCACAUGCGGGCCGGGCCAGGCCAGGGCAUCUGGAUGAUGCUGAAAAAUGAGAGAGAGCUGCAAUGGAUAAACUUGUGGACACGCCAUUUCCCAUGUGUGUGAGGAUACAGGCUGGCCAACAUCCUGGAGCUCAAACUGCCGGGAUGAAGGCUCCGUGUAUUUGUCAUUUACAUGGAUCCGGCGACAUAGCCUUCCACAGCUGUUGCUCCAAUUUGCCCUCCCCCCAGCAGCGUUUGGGGGGGCUCCUUCCACAUGGUCUCCCCAACAGUGAUACUCUCCCUCAACUUCUCCUACCUUCAUGACAACCCACAUGCGCCGUUGUUCUCAUUUGCCCGGAAGAAGUAAGAUGACUGACAGGGGGCUAACCGGAAGGACUGGAGCUUCAGCCCUGGGCAAGAAUGAAAUAUGUCCCUUCCUCUUUUCUUACCUCCUGAGAGCAGCGAAUCUUCUACAAACACCUGCCUGUGUGUGCAUCUCCCAUGUGGCGUGUCUGGGACUCUGGGCCUCGUCUUGUCUCCCAUGUGGUUGUGCGGCCUGAUACUAAAAACAGCUCAGCAUCUCAUGUCGGUCACAUCCUUAAUGCUGAGUUUGACUAUAAUUGCAGCAGGCAGACCAUAGUACAUUUACUUAACAUACCUUGAAUUAGGACCUCUUGCAUAAAUUUGCAUGCUAUUUGCAUCUAUUUGAUUGGACUGGGGGGAAAAAAAUCAGUGGUUGCAGCUCUUGAGUCAGGCAGGCUGGAAAGGGGCUGAGGAGCACCCAGCUUGGCCUUGAGCCCAGGGCUGCACUGAUCAGACGCUGAGCACACCCUCACAUCUGCUCUGCCCCCCGGGCUACCUGGGCAGGAGCUGGGCUCUUAAUGUGAGUCUCUUCUCACCCCGGGACUCACCAUGCUUAGGACAGGGGUGGUGCCAGAUCCCUCGGUGUCCAGAUCCCUCCUCCGACACGUGUCACCCCAGACCAUGUUCCGUGAAGGCCAAUAUCAUGUCUGUCCGGCUGCUGCUGGAUUCCCAUGGACGGUUGGAUAAACUGAAUGAACAAAUG